CUCCAAAAGGGGUGUUGGGCUGAAGUCGGCUGGGGUUGCCGGCUUCAGCCCAGUAUCUCACAUUCUCUCCCCCUUAAGAAAAUUUCGUCCUCGAAAUUUGAGAGAUCUAGGCCUUUCAAAUUUAGAAAUGCUCAGCCCAUUGAGUAAUACAAAUCCAAGAUCUCAUUCUCCUUGAUCAAAAUCAGUGUGAUAGAUAGCUUUAGAUCAAUUAUCAAAAAUUUCAUAAGUGACUAACUAAAAUCUCAGAUUGAAAUUAUCAUCUUGAUGCAUAUUCACUCGAGUUAGAUCAGGAUCGAUUCACAACAAGAUUGAUUAAAAUUAGUUGCGUUUGGGAUAGAACUUGAAAUGAAAUAGAUCUCAUACAGUUAUCAAGGUAGUGUACUGAUCCCUCAAAGGAUAAUGACCAACCUUAGAGUCAAAUCAUUAUAUUGCUAAGAAUAUGAUUCACAAAAUGAACAUGUACUGACGAUCAUUAGAUAGCAACGGUCUAUCUCAAAAAUGAUUUGCAUCAAAUCACAAGAGCAGGUCUAGGAAGGCAAAGUAUUGAUACCAUAUGCCACAAAGCUUUUAACUUAAACUUAUAAAUUAUAAGAUGGGAGCAAAUAAUGCAUGGUUUAUUCAGAUACUUAACAAAUUAGACCAUAUUUAGUCAACAAUCAACUAACCCGAGUCAUGAUACGCUCAAAUUAUUAUUAUUAUUAUUAUUUUCUUAGCAUACCCAAAAAAUAGCAAAUUCUACCCAAGAGAUAACAUAAUCAUAUCAUGAUUGA
Molecule: long non-coding RNA, 770 nt
Filed under: Phoenix dactylifera (date palm)
Lineage: Eukaryota; Viridiplantae; Streptophyta; Magnoliopsida; Arecales; Arecaceae
Description: long non-coding RNA (PDAC_LNC018356)
Source: RNAcentral